Molecule: small RNA, 66 nt
Filed under: Chryseobacterium limigenitum
Lineage: Bacteria; Pseudomonadati; Bacteroidota; Flavobacteriia; Flavobacteriales; Weeksellaceae
Description: Flavo-1 RNA
Rfam family: Flavo-1 RNA
Source: RNAcentral
CCCUAGCCCCGAUUGAAAUGAAAAUCUUUUUAAAAAAAAAGAUUGUAAUGAAAAGCGGGAAAAAGC